GAUGAAGAACGCAGCGAAAUGCGAUACGUAAUGUGAAUUGCAGAACUCAGUGAAUCAUCGAAUCUUUGAACGCAUAUUGCGCUCUCUGGUAUUCCGGAGAGCAUGCUUGUUUGAGUAUCAGUAAACACCUCAACUUCCAUAUCUUUUUUGAAAUGGGAGUUGGACUUGAGUGAUCCCAACGCUUUUCCUCACCGAAAAGUGGCGGGUUACUUGAAAUGCAGGUGCAGCUGGACUUUUCUCUUAUCUAUAAGCAUAUCUAUUUAGUCUAGCUAAAAAACAGAUUAUUACCUUUGCUGCAGCUAACAUAAAGGAGAUUAGUUCUUGUGCUGACUGAUGCAGGAUUCACAAAGACAGGCUUCGGCCGACUUUGUAAACUCGAUCUCAAAUCAAGUAAGACUACCCGCUGAACUUAAGCAUAUCAAUAAGCGGAGGA
This 433-nucleotide unclassified non-coding RNA is filed under the name soil metagenome. Its description in RNAcentral is "partial contains 5.8S ribosomal RNA, internal transcribed spacer 2, and large subunit ribosomal RNA". The stretch from base 1 to 120 matches the Rfam family "5.8S ribosomal RNA", at positions 35 to 154 of the family's 154-position model. The record is from RNAcentral.